Amphiprion ocellaris (clown anemonefish) is the source of this 1199-nucleotide long non-coding RNA. RefSeq lists it as uncharacterized. The record is from RefSeq and is a predicted model, not a curated record. The transcript is spliced from 3 exons. NCBI's taxonomy places the organism in Eukaryota, Metazoa, Chordata, Actinopteri, Pomacentridae.
GAACAAGGCCUUCUAAAGACUCUUUCCUUCAAAUCUUUUGUAACCGGGGUGAAAACUGAGGUUGAAAAACAUUUUUCCACUCGAUUUUAGUUUUUCCCACAUUUUCCCUGCCCCUGAAUGCCUCAUGACAUGUGACCAGGUCACAUGACAGCAAUCAUCCAAUCGGUGACUUCUCUAGCCCUAUAUAAGCUGCUCUGACUCCACUCUCCUCAGUUGUGUGGGAGAGGAGCCAGAGACAGCAGCUGCUCAGAAUCCAGACCUGUACUUUUGUGUUGGGACUCUACCUUGUUUUGUGCUUUGUGAUCAUAAGGAACUGGCCAGGUGCCCCUGAUCCACCACGGAUUUCCUGUAUCUAUUCGAUGGCGAGCUUCGAUCCCAAGCCAGGAGCCUGAAGAAAUCCCAACCCUUUGUCAACAUCCCAUGGUCUGGUAGGAGGCUUAGCAGCCUGCUCACUCUCCUACCUUCUCACUACUGAGCCCUUUCACAUCCACCUACUCCCCCUCUGGACAAUUUGCGCGUUGGAAACUACCCCCCUCGAACAAUAAAAGCCCCAAAUGAACAAUUGCGUUCAGUAUGCGUUUGGAGCCACCCAAAUGCUUGGUCGGACCUUGGGAUCCAUUUUGUUUUCUUUUUCUAGUUUGAUUUAUUGAACUUCAUGAAAAACAGAAGCAAUUGUAUUGUUGACUGGUUGUUGUUCUUUUGAUUGAUUGAUUAAUCUGUGCACAGAAAUUACUGCAGUUUGUAAAUACGUUUUGCUUUAUUUUGUUAACAUUCUUAUAAUAUAUUUCCACAUUUAAAAUCAAAUUACUAUCUCCUGGUCUCAUUUACUGCACUGCCCUCCAGUAGCCGAAUCUAACCUUCUGACAAUAGCCCAGUAUAUAUUCUCACCUAAUUCAACCACUUUUAGUAUUAUCAUUAUUUAACGCUACACACUCCUAGUUGUAAGUAAUUACAUAAUUACAUUGUAAUAAGGCAAACUCUUGCUACACUUUGUUAAUUGAUUUUUCAAUUUAUCUGUAAAUUCAUUCAAGCAAUAAAUGGUCAUUGGGAAGAACUGGAGCCACUACUCAUCUUUAUCUGCAUGUGUCAAGACACAAAUCCAACUCAGCCAUCAGUAAAAGUCAAACAGCAAACCAGAGGGGUUGGCUGAAAUUGCUAUUACACAAUUGUUUAUGUCAUUUUUCCAGUUGAUUAUUUUA